AUGUUUCAACAACUCCUAUGGAUGUCUUGGCUUGGUUUACAUAUGAGGGGAAUUGAGUUUACGGAUUUGGCGUUGCCGGCCACCGUGGCCGCGGCGUUCUGCGUCGUUGACCACUCCGGUAACAACGGCCACCACAUCGCCAUUCCGUACUCAGCGAUCAUCUCACUAUGUCGCUCGCUGAUCUCCACUUGGACAAAGGGCAAGCAUUUGCUGAGGAAGUUUGGAGGAGGUGGGGAGUGUCGAUCAACUUUGAAGAAGGUAAAGAUCUCCAAGAAUUCGUCCUCGUUACUGAAUUUACAAGAUCCAGGAUCAGGCUUACGGAAGAAUUCGUGUCCACCAUUCUUCUAUCAUGCUUCGGUGGACGGGCAUCCCCAAAGUCAAAUUGCUGCAGAACUGGCCAAUCGGAUUUUCUGUGUCAUCCAAGGAAGUGGUUUCUCUAUCAUCAAUGGAGGUAACAUUUCAAUUUCUGAACUCAAUGUCAAUUUCCUACUCGGGGAUCUGGUGGCCCAAAUUCUUGUUGGUAACUUGACCAGUACCUACAAGAAAAGGAGGAUGAAUGGACCCACAUCUUCCGAAGACACCCAAGAAAUCAUAUCUGCAAGCUCUUGA
RNAcentral lists this ribosomal RNA (609 nucleotides) under Triticum aestivum (bread wheat). Its description in RNAcentral is "partial small subunit ribosomal RNA". Lineage: Eukaryota; Viridiplantae; Streptophyta; Magnoliopsida; Poales; Poaceae. The record is from RNAcentral.